AGAGUUUGAUCCUGGCUCAGAUUGAACGCUGGCGGCAGGCCUAACACAUGCAAGUCGAACGGUAACAUUUCUAGCUUGCUAGAAGAUGACGAGUGGCGGACGGGUGAGCAAUGCUUGGGAACUUGCCUUUGCGGGGGGGAUAACAGUUGGAAACGACUGCUAAUACCGCAUAAUGUCUACGGACCAAACGGGGCUUAGGCUCCGGCGCAAAGAGAGGCCCAAGUGAGAUUAGCUAGUUGGUAAGGUAACGGCUUACCAAGGCGACGAUCUCUAGCUGUUCUGAGAGGAAGAUCAGCCACACUGGGACUGAGACACGGCCCAGACUCCUACGGGAGGCAGCAGUGGGGAAUAUUGCACAAUGGGGGAAACCCUGAUGCAGCCAUGCCGCGUGUGUGAAGAAGGCCUUCGGGUUGUAAAGCACUUUCAGUUGUGAGGAAAAGUUAGUAGUUAAUACCUGCUAGCCGUGACGUUAACAACAGAAGAAGCACCGGCUAACUCCGUGCCAGCAGCCGCGGUAAUACGGAGGGUGCGAGCGUUAAUCGGAAUUACUGGGCGUAAAGCGCACGCAGGCGGUUUGUUAAGCUAGAUGUGAAAGCCCCGGGCUCAACCUGGGAUGGUCAUUUAGAACUGGCAGACUAGAGUCUUGGAGAGGGGAGUGGAAUUCCAGGUGUAGCGGUGAAAUGCGUAGAUAUCUGGAGGAACAUCAGUGGCGAAAGGCGACUCCCUGGCCAAAGACUGACGCUCAUGUGCGAAAGUGUGGGUAGCGAACAGGAUUAGAUACCCUGGUAGUCCACACCGUAAACGCUGUCUACUAGCUGUGUGUGUCUUUAAGACGUGCGUAGCGAAGCUAACGCGCUAAGUAGACCGCCUGGGGGAGUAC
RNAcentral lists this ribosomal RNA (880 nucleotides) under uncultured Alteromonas sp. RNAcentral describes it as "bacterial SSU rRNA". It matches the Rfam family "Bacterial small subunit ribosomal RNA", at positions 8 to 883 of the family's 1533-position model. Lineage: Bacteria; Pseudomonadati; Pseudomonadota; Gammaproteobacteria; Alteromonadales; Alteromonadaceae. The record is from RNAcentral.